Molecule: long non-coding RNA, 1404 nt
Filed under: Canis lupus familiaris (dog)
Lineage: Eukaryota; Metazoa; Chordata; Mammalia; Carnivora; Canidae
Description: lncRNA (ENSCAFG00845027351.1)
Source: RNAcentral
GCGUCGCCGGGGCGGGUCCCCCUCAAAGCCCUGGGGGACUCGUGCCCGGAAGGGGGGGCGGCGCCCACAGGCUCCUUCGCUGGCAGGGCCUCCAGCUCCGUAGAAUGCGAGAACUGGAAAGUGACAGGACCCAUGCUCCAUAGCCUAACUCCAGUAUCUCCUAGAAAGAAUCGCCCUGCUUGCAGCACCUGGCCUCGAUCUGCCGCAGGACAUCCAGACCUUCCGUGACCUCCCCGAACACCACGUGCUUGCCAUCCAGCCAAUCCAUCUUGUCACACGUCAGGAAGAACUGGGAGCCAUUGGUGUUGGGGCCAGAGCUGGCCAUGGAGAGCAGGCCUGCUGUCAGGGCAACAACGUCUAAACGCAGCAGCAUGUGGAUGCGGCCGCCGGCUUGUUCCCGAUCUUGAUGUCCUUGUACACCUGAGGAUUUGACCAGGCCUUUUUGGCAGCGGCCUCUCCCUGCAGACCCCAGUUCAGAGGCAAACCAUAGGAGACUCUUAACUACAGAAAACAAACUGAGGAUUGCUGGAAGUGAGGGUCACCUCCUGGUCCACAAUGGCUUCUUCCCCUGUUGGCUAGCAUGUUCAUAUUCUAGACAGCAGGUAAGAGAGAAGGCCAAAGGAGAAAAGAGAUCACGAGCCAGGGGCUUUUUGAAGUUUCUUGGAAGGAACUCUCAUGCUGUAUGGAGAGACAAGCCAGGGCAAGCAAACUUAGUAAAAGGAAUGUGUCACAUGUGCUUAAGGCUGCUAGUGCUGUUUGUCAUUUCUUGCAAAAGCCUGGUGAAGCUUUAGUUGCUGGUAAGUAGAGCUUGAAGUUCAUCUGUUCAUGGAAACAUUAAGCCUAGACUAAAGAAUUGCUGUCAUUUUAGCUAGUACCUCGUUUUCUAUACUUUAAAAAUAUAAACUGUUCUUAAUCAUUUUUACAAUCAUUUUUAUGACUGUUAUCUGUGUUGGAAAACACUAGGGAAAAUAAUAAUAAUAAUCUGAAUUCUAGAUUUUUGGGCACUGUUGUAAAUUUCUAGGUGUUUUUGUUUGAUAUUUUUAAAAUUACUUAAUUGGAAAGAAGAUCAAGAGAAAACAAUGUUUCAAAACAUUUGCAGUUCUUGAUAUAUGACUCAGAAAUGAGUAAGGCUAGGGAUAGGUUUGUUUGAUGUGCCAAAAUAUAUUUUAACGUUGCAUGAAAAAAACCCAGCUCUUUAAUGUUGGAUCUCAGGAGUCUCACUAAAUAUUUUUUUGAUGAAAUAGAUAAGACCAUUAUAGACUCUGGGCUCUAGUCCUUGGGCUCGUUUGUUUGUGGGUAUAAACAUGCCCUUUUUCUUUUGAAACUUUUGGAGAAUAUUUUCCAGAUACAGUUUUUAUUCAUUUUAGACACUGAAAAUAUAUGUCUAGUUUAUACAGAUCUGUG